CCUACGGGUGACAGCAGUGAGGAAUAUUGGUCAAUGGACGAGAGUCUGAACCAGCCAAGUCGCGUGAAGGCUGACUGCCCUAUGGGUUGUAACCUUCUUUUAUCUGGGAAUAAAAUGUUCCACGUGUGGGAUUUUGUAUGUAACAUAUGAAUAAGGAUCGGCUAACUCCGUGCCAGCAGCCGCGGUAAUACGGCGGAUCCGAUCGUUAUCCGGAAUUAUUGGGUUUAAAGGGAGCGUAGGGUGGUUGUUAAGUCAGUUGGGAAAGUUUGUGGCUCAACCGUAAAAUGGCAGUUGAAACUGGCAGUCUUGAGUACAGUAGAGGUAUGCGGAAUGCGUGGUGUAGCGGGUAAAUGCUUAGAUAUCACGAAGAACUCCGAUUGCGAAGGCAGCUCACUGGACUGCAACUGACACUGAGGCUCGAAAGUGUGGGUAUCAAACAGGAUUAGAUACCCUGGUAGGC
Molecule: ribosomal RNA, 460 nt
Filed under: uncultured bacterium
Lineage: Bacteria
Description: partial 16S ribosomal RNA
Rfam family: Bacterial small subunit ribosomal RNA
Source: RNAcentral